UACGUAGGGGCCGAGCGUUGUCCGGAUUCAUUGGGCGUAAAGAGCGUGUAGGCGGCCGCUUAAGUCCUGCGUGAAAUCUCGGAGCUCAACUCCGAGCGGUCGUGGGAAACUGGGCGGCUAGAGUGCGGGAGAGGGUAGUGGAAUUCCCGGUGUAGUGGUGAAAUGCGUAGAUAUCGGGAGGAACACCAGUGGCGAAGGCGACUACCUGGCCUGUUCUUGACGCUGAGGCGCGAAAGCUAGGGGAGCAAACGGG
This 253-nucleotide ribosomal RNA is filed under the name uncultured bacterium. Its description in RNAcentral is "partial 16S ribosomal RNA". It matches the Rfam family "Bacterial small subunit ribosomal RNA", at positions 524 to 776 of the family's 1533-position model. The record is from RNAcentral.